This 465-nucleotide ribosomal RNA is filed under the name Vreelandella stevensii. Its description in RNAcentral is "partial 16S ribosomal RNA". It matches the Rfam family "Bacterial small subunit ribosomal RNA", at positions 338 to 795 of the family's 1533-position model. Lineage: Bacteria; Pseudomonadati; Pseudomonadota; Gammaproteobacteria; Oceanospirillales; Halomonadaceae. The record is from RNAcentral.
CCUACGGGAGGCUGCAGUGGGGAAUAUUGGACAAUGGGCGAAAGCCUGAUCCAGCCAUGCCGCGUGUGUGAAGAAGGCCUUCGGGUUGUAAAGCACUUUCAGUGGGGAAGAAAGCCUUGGGGCUAAUACCCUCGAGGAAGGACAUCACCCACAGAAGAAGCACCGGCUAACUCCGUGCCAGCAGCCGCGGUAAUACGGAGGGUGCGAGCGUUAAUCGGAAUUACUGGGCGUAAAGCGCGCGUAGGCGGUCUGAUAAGCCGGUUGUGAAAGCCCCGGGCUCAACCUGGGAACGGCAUCCGGAACUGUCAGGCUAGAGUGCAGGAGAGGAAGGUAGAAUUCCCGGUGUAGCGGUGAAAUGCGUAGAGAUCGGGAGGAACACCAGUGGCGAAGGCGGCCUUCUGGACUGACACUGACGCUGAGGUGCGAAAGCGUGGGUAGCAAACAGGAUUAGAUACCCCAGUAGUC